AAAAGCUUCCUGCUGGAAGCAAGAUCAUGGAGCAAUGCAUUCAAACUCAUAAGAAAAUGUGCUUACAGAAUCACAGUGUAUCAAUGCUGAAUAUUGCCCUGACCACAGUGACAAGGUACUACUUUGGAAGCACGAGGACGUGGGAAGAGUGUGCACUUGUGGAAGCCAACCCCUCACCCUGAUAACAAACCUAUGGCUGGUGCCUCAUCACAGAAGCAGGAUGGACAGCAGAGAGCCUGAAUCAGCACCUUACUGUCCCCGUGUGGCCUCACCUACUAGCCCCAGGACUCCAGCUUCUGUUCAACCCUCUCCUUGGCCCUGGCUGCUCCUUUUAGGCAUUCUGAAAAUAAGAGUCUCAAUGACAAGGUGUCAAGACUACCCAGAUGAAUUGUGUAACAACUGUGAAACGAGCUGUAGAGAGCCCGCAAAGAAAACACAGAAUACAUGGUGUCACUAAACCUGCAGAGUUGGCCCCAGAACAAAUCCACUACUAAGGUGACUUGAUGUGGCGAUGGGGUGUGUGGUGUUGGGAAGGAUCUGUGCUGUGUGGAAGAAAAGCUUACUUUAACUUCGUUAAAUUUCAUUCUUUUGAGCUGAUCAUGACAUGUUACAUUGCCUGCUUCUACGUUGCAGACAGACAUCAGGAGACAAAUGAAAUUUUCUAAGAUUAUCAGAGUGAGGAUGGCUUUUCCCUUCACCAUGUGGCAAAUAAGGGCCCAGGGGAGAAUUCCGAUGGUGGAAGCCACUUUACAUCAUAAACAGAACACAGAGAAACUAUUACAGGUAACUCACAAUGCUCUUUUCCAAUUAUGCCCAAACCUCAAAAGAUUUAUUUCAUUCACUAGCUAUUUCCAUAAAGACAGGACCAGAGUGAUAUACAAGUUUAUUAACACAAUCUGCAUUGUGAACAGUACCUCCUGGAGUUAUAUGAAAUGGAAAACCUGCAGGAAGAGCUUCUUCAAAAUGCAGAUUGACAUGCAAAUCCAACCGUUAGAGAAAAUGCCGCUGUGUAGCCUGACGGCAAUUAUUUCCCUUCAAGUGAGGUUUG
Molecule: long non-coding RNA, 1048 nt
Organism: Orcinus orca (killer whale)
Lineage: Eukaryota; Metazoa; Chordata; Mammalia; Artiodactyla; Delphinidae
Exons: 3
Source: RefSeq, a predicted model, not a curated record